CGAGUCAAACGCCAUUCUACCAUUGCCCAGUGACAGUCCCAUGAAGUGCUGCGGCGCAGCGGCAGAUGCUUGUGACAGAAGUGUGCCGGCUCAGUCAUCUCAGCACGGCCUCCGUCUCAAGCGCUACCCACCCCACGCCUCGCAGCCGCUCAUACCACGGCCGUCGUCACCUGCCGCAUCCCCCUCCCGGUGGCCCAGGCCCACUCACCAGUAGUCGGUGAGGGCCGGGGGUGGGGAUACGCUCGAGCCGCGUCGACACACCCUGCCCAUCGCAUGGAUGGCACGAGUGCGUCCACUGUCGCAGGUCGACCCGACGCAGCCCCAUUCACUGCCUGGCCGCUGGCAUCAGUAGCGGCGAGUCGACCUGGCUUUCCUGCGUCCUAGGCACCUGGCCCUGCCACCACCAGAGGUGGCUCGGCACUUGGCAGAGGGGUAGAGGGGGUGCGCUGGACCCUGAGAUACCACGCACUGAAAAGGGUGUCCACUCCCGUUUUAUGGGUAGAAAGACACAGUGCAAAGAAAACGAACAAAGUCUUGCUGUUCUUAUCGAGAGGCAACGUGCCGUCGCCUCCACUGAGACCUCGUUCCCUUGAAACAAAGAAAUGAACGAGUGCGAUCGAUGCAGCACAGUGGGUUUCAAGUAGACGGAGCCAAAUAAAGAGGGAGGAAUGCGAAAUGGAUGGCGUAUCUCUCGUGCUUUUUAAAAACGUUACUUCUUUUCCGCGCGGCAAAACAGAGAGGAUGGUCACCGCUGGUCACACCUAGAGAGCGAUAUAGGAAGUGCCGAAAGCUGGUUCUUUUUUUAGUUCAUGUGGGCGGUAAGAAAGGAGGCGUGAACGGGAGAAACAAACGGAAAACAUGUUUCAUAUAUAUAUUUGUUUAUGCGUGUUGUGUUGUGCGUGCUCGGGGUGCUCAAGGCCACACAGAG
This 928-nucleotide unclassified non-coding RNA is filed under the name Leishmania donovani. RNAcentral describes it as "gene:unknown". Lineage: Eukaryota; Euglenozoa; Kinetoplastea; Trypanosomatida; Trypanosomatidae. The record is from RNAcentral.